RNAcentral lists this ribosomal RNA (253 nucleotides) under uncultured bacterium. RNAcentral describes it as "partial 16S ribosomal RNA". It matches the Rfam family "Bacterial small subunit ribosomal RNA", at positions 524 to 776 of the family's 1533-position model. The record is from RNAcentral.
GACGAACCGAGCGAACGUUGUUCGGAAUCACUGGGCUUAAAGGGCGCGUAGGCGGGCUGUCAAGUUUGGGGUGAAAUCCCGCGGCUCAACCGUGGAACUGCCUCGAAUACUGACGGCCUCGAGGGAGGUAGGGGCGAGCGGAACUGUGAGUGGAGCGGUGAAAUGCGUUGAUAUUCACAGGAACUCCGGUGGCGAAGGCGGCUCGCUGGACCUCUUCUGACGCUGAGGCGCGAAAGCUAGGGGAGCAAACGGG